RNAcentral lists this signal recognition particle RNA (265 nucleotides) under human gut metagenome. RNAcentral describes it as "Bacterial large signal recognition particle RNA". It matches the Rfam family "Bacterial large signal recognition particle RNA". Rfam says of the family: The signal recognition particle (SRP) is a universally conserved ribonucleoprotein involved in the co-translational targeting of proteins to membranes. Archaeal SRP consists of a 7S RNA and homologues of the eukaryotic SRP19 and SRP54 proteins. The record is from RNAcentral.
CCGUACUAGAUGGGGAGGUAGCGGUGCCCUAUAACCUGCAAUCCGCUAUAGCAGGGUUGAAGUCCCACGCCGAGGCAAGAUAUUGUACAGUCUGGUCGAUGUAAGCGGCGAAGAAGACUGGGUCCUGUGCAACGGGAAUUUACGAACCCCGCCAGGUCCGGAAGGAAGCAGCGGUAAGUAAACACUUCCGUGUGCCGCAGGGCAACCUGGUCCGAGCCGGCUGCAUCGGUGCCGUGUAUGAUAUCUUGUCGAAGGUGGGUGUACG